UUUCAUUUACGAAACCGGCAGCAUCGUGAUUCUGUUGCUGAUGCAAACAAUUUAAAAUGUCGGGCAGCUAAAUGACGAAAGAAACGACCCAGAAGUUUGGAACUCCUUGUACGAUUCUGCAGUUGAACUUGCCGCAACUGUCAAUACUGAUCCGUCAAUGUCAAGAAACCGUGGUGCCCAACGUAAUAGGCCCAAUGCACCAGCGC
This 206-nucleotide long non-coding RNA is filed under the name Mytilus galloprovincialis (Mediterranean mussel). The record is from RNAcentral. Lineage: Eukaryota; Metazoa; Mollusca; Bivalvia; Mytilida; Mytilidae.